This 253-nucleotide ribosomal RNA is filed under the name uncultured bacterium. Its description in RNAcentral is "partial 16S ribosomal RNA". It matches the Rfam family "Bacterial small subunit ribosomal RNA", at positions 524 to 776 of the family's 1533-position model. The record is from RNAcentral.
UACGUAGGGUGCGAGCGUUAAUCGGAAUUACUGGGCGUAAAGCGUGCGCAGGCGGUUUUGUAAGCCAGAUGUGAAAUCCCCGGGCUCAACCUGGGAAUGGCAUUUGGGACUGCAAGGCUGGAGUGCGGCAGAGGAGACUGGAAUUCCUGGUGUAGCAGUGAAAUGCGUAGAUAUCAGGAGGAACACCAAUAGCGAAGGCAGCUCGCUGGGACGGUACUGACGCUAAGGCGCGAAAGCGUGGGGAGCGAACAGG